CCUACGGGAGGCAGCAGUGAGGAAUAUUGGUCAAUGGACGAGAGUCUGAACCAGCCAAGUAGCGUGAAGGAUGACUGCCCUAUGGGUUGUAAACUUCUUUUAUAUGGGAAUAAAAUGUUCCACGUGUGGGAUUUUGUAUGUACCAUAUGAAUAAGGAUCGGCUAACUCCGUGCCAGCAGCCGCGGUAAUACGGAGGAUCCGAGCGUUAUCCGGAUUUAUUGGGUUUAAAGGGAGCGUAGGUGGAUUGUUAAGUCAGUUGUGAAAGUUUGCGGCUCAACCGUAAAAUUGCAGUUGAAACUGGCAGUCUUGAGUACAGUAGAGGUAGGCGGAAUGCGUGGUGUAGCGGUGAAAUGCUUAGAUAUCGCGAAGAACUCCGAUUGCGAAGGCAGUUCACUGGACUGCAACUGACACUGAGGCUCGAAAGUGUGGGUAUCAAACAGGAUUAGAUACCCUGGUAGUC
This 460-nucleotide ribosomal RNA is filed under the name uncultured bacterium. RNAcentral's name for it is "partial 16S ribosomal RNA". It matches the Rfam family "Bacterial small subunit ribosomal RNA", at positions 338 to 795 of the family's 1533-position model. The record is from RNAcentral.